GACGAACGCUGGCGGCGUGCUUAACACAUGCAAGUCGAACGGAAAGGCCCUGCUUUUGUGGGGUGCUCGAGUGGCGAACGGGUGAGUAACACGUGAGUAACCUGCCCUUGACUUUGGGAUAACCUCAGGAAACUGGGGCUAAUACCGGAUAGGAGCUCCUGCUGCAUGGUGGGGGUUGGAAAGUUUCGGCGGUUGGGGAUGGACUCGCGGCUUAUCAGCUUGUUGGUGGGGUAGUGGCUUACCAAGGCUUUGACGGGUAGCCGGCCUGAGAGGGUGACCGGCCACAUUGGGACUGAGAUACGGCCCAGACUCCUACGGGAGGCAGCAGUGGGGAAUAUUGCACAAUGGGCGGAAGCCUGAUGCAGCAACGCCGCGUGCGGGAUGACGGCCUUCGGGUUGUAAACCGCUUUCGCCUGUGACGAAGCGUGAGUGACGGUAAUGGGUAAAGAAGCACCGGCUAACUACGUGCCAGCAGCCGCGGUGAUACGUAGGGUGCGAGCGUUGUCCGGAUUUAUUGGGCGUAAAGGGCUCGUAGGUGGUUGAUCGCGUCGGAAGUGUAAUCUUGGGGCUUAACCCUGAGCGUGCUUUCGAUACGGGUUGACUUGAGGAAGGUAGGGGAGAAUGGAAUUCCUGGUGGAGCGGUGGAAUGCGCAGAUAUCAGGAGGAACACCAGUGGCGAAGGCGGUUCUCUGGGCCUUUCCUGACGCUGAGGAGCGAAAGCGUGGGGAGCGAACAGGCUUAGAUACCCUGGUAGUCCACGCUGUAAACGGUGGGUACUAGGUGUGGGGUCCAUUCCACGGGUUCCGUGCCGUAGCUAACGCUUUAAGUACCCCGCCUGGGGAGUACGGCCGCAAGGCUAAAACUCAAAGGAAUUGACGGGGUCCCGCACAAGCGGCGGAGCAUGCGGACUAAUUCGAUGCAACGCGUAGAACCUUACCUGGGUUUGACAUGGAUCGGGAGUGCUCAGAGAUGGGUGUGCCUCUUUUGGGGUCGGUUCACAGGUGGUGCGUGGCUGUCGUCAGCUCGUGUCGUGAGAUGUUGGGUUAAGCCCCGCAACGAACGCAACCCUUGUUCACUGUUGCCAGCACGUUAUGGUGGGGACUCAGUGGAGACCGCCGGGGUCAACUCGGAGGAAGGUGGGGAUGACGUCAAGUCAUCAUGCCCCUUAUGUCCAGGGCUUCACGCAUGCUACAAUGGCUGGUACAGAGAGUGGCGAGCCUGUGAGGGUGAGCGAAUCUCGGAAAGCCGGUCUCAGUUCGGAUUGGGGUCUGCAACUCGACCUCAUGAAGUCGGAGUCGCUAGUAAUCGCAGAUCAGCAACGCUGCGGUGAAUACGUUCCCGGGGCU
Molecule: ribosomal RNA, 1346 nt
Filed under: uncultured bacterium
Lineage: Bacteria
Description: partial 16S ribosomal RNA
Rfam family: Bacterial small subunit ribosomal RNA
Source: RNAcentral